This 206-nucleotide ribosomal RNA is filed under the name uncultured bacterium. Its description in RNAcentral is "partial 16S ribosomal RNA". It matches the Rfam family "Bacterial small subunit ribosomal RNA", at positions 568 to 774 of the family's 1533-position model. The record is from RNAcentral.
AGCGUAGACGGCACGGCAAGCCAGAUGUGAAAGCCCGGGGCUCAACCCUGGGACUGCAUUUGGAACUGCUGAGCUAGAGUGUCGGAGAGGCAAGUGGAAUUCCUAGUGUAGCGGUGAAAUGCGUAGAUAUUAGGAGGAACACCAGUGGCGAAGGCGGCUUGCUGGACGAUGACUGACGUUGAGGCUCGAAAGCGUGGGAGCAAACA